AUCCUACCCUAGCGCCGCCACCUUCUUCCUCGGGAUCCCUCUCGAUCCCCUUGAUUCACCCAGCCAGCGCCGCCUCCUCCUCAAUUUUAGUGCCACCCAACCAAAUCACGGCCAGCCGAGCGCCUCCUCCUUCCUCUGCCAGCUCGAUCUUCCCCAUCCCGCGCCCGAGCUCCUUCUCCUCAUUGAGCCGAGGCUCCCUGCCGCCGGCAGCAGCAGCAGCAACUCUCGCAUCCUCGACUCCCGAGCUCCUCGAUCGUCGCGGGCGCACCCAGCAGAUGAGCGCCGUCCCUGCUCCUUUUCUUUCCUCCUCUGCUCCUCUCUCUCACUUCUCAUCUCUCUCCCCCGUUUCUUUCUCUACAGGAGGAAAGCACCACGCCACGGCCUCCCCAAGCUCUGCUUCACCCUCGCCUUGGGUCCAUGAGGAGAUGACCAUGCCGGCCGCCCUUCCCCAUCUCGAUCGGAUCCAGGACCCCACCGCCUUCAGCCAUGUCUCCGCGGUCAUGGCUCCGUUGGAGGUUCCCUGCCCCGAGCCUCUGCCAUGACCAGCACCCGACCAGCAAGUCGCCAGCGCGCCCGAUGCCUCCUCCUCGCGCAUGCCUGGCCGCACCAACGGACCCCGCAGACAACAGCACCAUAGCCGCCCAUCAAGUUCGCGCCCCUGCCCCGAUCUGGACCGGAUCUCCUCUGCUCCGCCGCCUAGCCGCCGAAUCCGCCCCAUUCCGGUCGGUUCCCGCCGACCCCGGCGCCAGGACCUUCGGUGAUGCCACCUUCUGCGUCACCAUGAACCUGCAGCUGCCUCUAUUCUUUAGUAACGAGAAGGAGCAGCUCGCUCGCCUCGCGUUGACCAUGGCCGGGCCACAUCUCGCGCCGCUCAGCCUAGCGCCAACUUCUGCGGCCUCCUUCGCCUGACGGCCCGCCUCCCCUUCGCUCGUUGACCGCGGCCCAGCUCCCCACCUCCACCGGCUGGGCUUGCCCAUGUUCCGGUUACGUUGCGAUUGUGAGGAUCCGUUCGACUAUGCCCGUUCGUCUUCUUCAUGGAUCCGAUCUUCUUCCUAGUGGGAUUUUAGGCAAGAUGACCGUCACCUUGGAUCUCACUGUCGGUGUCCAAACCGGCGGAUCAUGGCUAGGGGGUCCCAAACUGUGCGUCUCAGGCUAAUGGUAACGGGAGGCGGGGGACACAAUGUUUACCCAGGUCCGGGCCCUCUCGAUGGAGGCAUCUGUAGCGACUGCCGCCUCUCAUACUGCGGAAGUCUCCGGACUAAAUCAAAGUCUGGAGCGGGCCACAGAAGAAUUGGUCCAGUUGAAAAGGGGCGGUGACCGAAGUCGAGGAUCUUAAGAAGGUUGUGGUCGAGGCUGAGAGAAAGGCAGUCGCAGAGCUGGCUCUUCGUGAGAAGCACGAGGCCAGGGUUAUUGAAGCUGAGCAAGAGCUUCAAGAGGUCGUGAAAAGAUGCGAGGCCUUGGAGCAGAGUCUAACGGAGAAAGAAUCCGAACUUACCAAGGCUCAUCAGGCCGCAUGCGAUGCCCAGGGGGAAACCCAAGUUGCCCUGUAGGAGAUCCAAGAGGCGAGGAAGAUCGCGUCGGGUAAGGCUUUUUCCAUGUAAAGCAAGUAUUUGGGGAGAAAAUCAUGUUUCUAAUCUUGAGUUCGGAUUUCUCUAGGGGCAUUUGCGGAGCUGCCAUGCAACAUAUGUGAUGCCACACAAUUCUACCGAGCCGAAGAAAGGAACACUGUGGAUAAGCUCUUCUAGUCGCAGUAUCUGGCACCAAAUUAUCCGGUGCCUUUUGCCGAUCAACUGAAGCAGCUGAUCGAACUGCAUAAGGCGGCCGAGCUAGCCAUGAAGGAUUUGAUUAUCCGGCUAUGGCCCGCUGAGCUGAUUCCAAGCAGCUACUUCAGGCUCGUGAAGCGGCUUGUGAGUGCCUGCCCUGGACUGGACGUCAUGAAGCGGUCGGUCUAUAUAGAGGGUGCGUGAAUGGCCUUCGCCCGCGCAAAGGUGCACUGGGGGAAGAUGGAUGCUGAAAAGCUGGUGACCGAGGGACCGCCGGAGGGAAAGGAGCACCGCAAGCCCGAGUUAUAUUAUGAAAGUGUCUUGAAAGGAUCCCGCCUUGCGGCGGAGCAAUGCACCAAGGACAUUAUAUUUCCAUGAAUACAAUCAUGUUGUCUUUUGUAAUGUUGAACAAGGUCAUUUCUAUUAUUUAUCGCCUGUUAUAUGAAAGUUUAUCCUCC
This is a non-coding RNA of Aegilops tauschii subsp. strangulata, 2221 nucleotides long. The record is from RefSeq and is a predicted model, not a curated record. Lineage: Eukaryota; Viridiplantae; Streptophyta; Magnoliopsida; Poales; Poaceae.